CCUACGGGUGGCAGCAGUGAGGAAUAUUGGUCAAUGGGCUUACGCCUGAACCAGCCAAGUCGCGUGAGGGAAGACUGCCCUAUGGGUUGUAAACCUCUUUUGUCAGGGAGUAAACGGAGCUACGUGUAGCGUUAUCGAGAGAACCUGAAGAAAAAGCAUCGGCUAACUCCGUGCCAGCAGCCGCGGUAAUACGGAGGUUCCGAGCGUUAUCCGGAUUAAUUGGGUUGAAGGGGAGCGUAGGUGGUUGGUUAAGUCAGUUGUGAAAGUUUGCGGCUCAACCGUAAAAUUGCAGUUGAAACUGGCAGUCUUGAGUACAGUAGAGGUGGGCGGAAUUCGUGGUGUAGCGGUGAAAUGCUUAGAGAUCACGAAGAACUCCGAUUGCGAAGGCAGCUCACUGGACUGCAACUGACACUGAGGCUCGAAAGUGUGGGUAUCAAACAGGAUUAGAUACCCUUGUAGUC
This 461-nucleotide ribosomal RNA is filed under the name uncultured bacterium. RNAcentral's name for it is "partial 16S ribosomal RNA". It matches the Rfam family "Bacterial small subunit ribosomal RNA", at positions 338 to 795 of the family's 1533-position model. The record is from RNAcentral.